Molecule: long non-coding RNA, 1640 nt
Filed under: Sorghum bicolor (sorghum)
Lineage: Eukaryota; Viridiplantae; Streptophyta; Magnoliopsida; Poales; Poaceae
Description: long non-coding RNA (SBIC_LNC007498)
Source: RNAcentral
CUUGAAACUGUUAAUAUGCAAAGCAAUUUAAGUUUUCUGUGGUAGUUUGAACUUGCCUAGCUUUAGACUUCACAAUAAUGAUGUUAACUUUCAUACAAAGGUCAUGCCUUACUUGCCUACUGAUCCAUAGUACUAAUAUAGAGUUAAAUGUUCAACUUGAUGAAUCUUUUGAAAGCUCCACAGCAUCGUGCACUCACGGAUAAAAGGGCCUCUGGCCAUUGUGUCUCACUCAGUUUAUUGCAAUAUUGGCACGCUGGCAGAUUGCUUCAGCAAUGGCUCUUCAUAGUAAGGUUUUUUAUGAUAGCUUUUGUGCCAAAAAUUGUACUUGAACAUUACACAACCACCUGCUGAACAGCACAGAUACGGAUACGUGUAUCGGUAUCGGAAGGAUACGGAUACGUGGAUACGGCAAUUUCCUAAAAAACCCGAUACGCAGAUACGUUUACUAUUUAAAAAAUAAAAUUUAAAAAAUAAUAGUGCAGUUCUGAAUUUAAAAUUGACAACAAUAAAACACUGUAAUCAACUACUUAAGUGUAUUAUUAUUACACCACAGCUGGUUGGCUAAGCAAUUUCAUGGCUAAACUCAUCAAUAAGGGAGCAGAUCAUCCAUGAUUUCAUUGAUUUAUCCACCAAGUCAUAGGGGAAACAGCCCACCAUCUAUAGGGAAAAGAGCACUUGCACUGCUCAUAUUUGGAGACACCAUCUACUGCAUACAAGCAAUCAAGCAACAAGAAGUCACUAACUGCACUGCAGAAAGAGAAUAGAUCGAGAAUGUGGAGAUGAAGACGAAGUGGGGAGCAAAGAAAUCAAGAACGAGCGGACACGAACUGAAGAGGAAGAGGAAGAGGAGAUCGAGAACGAGUAAACUCACGGGAGUUCAUUGGAGCUAGAUCCAUGUCGCAGGGGCAGAAACCAGUCGCUGGCGGUCGGCGAGUAGGGACGGAGGCUCGUCACCGGCAGCUGGCGGGCUGGCGAGCAGGGAUGCGGCGUCGCUGCGCGGUGUUGCGGCGCGAGGCGCGAGUCGCAGGCGUGCGGCCGUGCGGGAGUGUGAGCAUCGGAGGCGUUGGACAGAGGGAUAAGGUUUGUCUAAUUGGGCUGGGCCGUAUCCACACACCAGAUACGUAUCAGCCGACGUAUCCAAAAUUCAUGAAAAAAAGAAAAAAUCGGAUACUUCACCGAUACGUAUCGGCGGCGUAUCGGAUACGUAUCCGUAUCCGAAACGUAUCGGAUACGCGAUACGCGCUGCCAGGGACGUAUCCGUGUAACGGAGACCACCUGCGAAUUCCAGUGACCGGUUUAGCUAAUGUGUCGAACCUGAAGUUGCUCUAUUAGGACGUAAAUUUUGCCGUGGAAGAUACUCUUCUAAAUUAGCUUAUUAAGUGUGAGCUUGAUUAUAGAUUAAUUGACACAUUUAGUUUUCCUUUGGCAGUUGGUGUACUUUUUUGAACGAUGAAAGUUAAAGCUUUCAGAAAACUGAAUUUUAUUUUCUACCUCAACAUUUUUUAUGGCUUCCUGUAUUUAGUUGAAAUGCUGAUCUGCUAGCAUUAACUUCAACUUUUUUUUGUAUUGUUCUUAUUUGUUAGUAUGUGUUGAACAUAAAAUCCUGUGUGUUCACUGAGUUAUGUCUUUAUGCUACAGAA